CACGUAGGGGGCGAGCGUUGUCCGGAAUCAUUGGGCGUAAAGAGCUCGUAGGCGGUUUGUCGCGUCUGCUGUGAAAACUCGGGGCUUAACCCCGGGCCUGCAGUGGGUACGGGCAGACUAGAGUGCGGUAGGGGAGACUGGAAUUCCUGGUGUAGCGGUGAAAUGCGCAGAUAUCAGGAGGAACACCGGUGGCGAAGGCGGGUCUCUGGGCCGUAACUGACGCUGAGGAGCGAAAGCGUGGGGAGCGAACAGG
Molecule: ribosomal RNA, 253 nt
Filed under: uncultured bacterium
Lineage: Bacteria
Description: partial 16S ribosomal RNA
Rfam family: Bacterial small subunit ribosomal RNA
Source: RNAcentral